Molecule: transfer RNA, 68 nt
Filed under: Sinotaia quadrata
Lineage: Eukaryota; Metazoa; Mollusca; Gastropoda; Architaenioglossa; Viviparidae
Description: tRNA-His
Rfam family: tRNA
About the family: Transfer RNA (tRNA) molecules are approximately 80 nucleotides in length. Their secondary structure includes four short double-helical elements and three loops (D, anti-codon, and T loops).
Source: RNAcentral
ACUAAAUUAGUUUAAUGAAGAAAGAACGUUAGGUUGUGAUUCUAAUAGUAAAAAGAUUUUAUUUAGUA